RNAcentral lists this transfer RNA (71 nucleotides) under Paroedura karstophila. RNAcentral describes it as "tRNA-Ala". Lineage: Eukaryota; Metazoa; Chordata; Lepidosauria; Squamata; Gekkonidae. The record is from RNAcentral.
AUAAGACUCUCACUUACAUCAUUUGACUGCAACCCAAAUACUUUAAUUAAGCUAAAACCUCAAUGAGCUAG